AGCGAACGCUGGCGGCAGGCUUAACACAUGCAAGUCGAACGCAUCCUUCGGGGUGAGUGGCAGACGGGUGAGUAACACGUGGGAACAUACCUUUUGGUUCGGAAUAACUCAUGGAAACGUGAGCUAAUACCGGAUACGCCCUUUUGGGGAAAGAUUUAUUGCCGAAAGAUUGGCCCGCGUCUGAUUAGCUAGUUGGUGAGGUAAUGGCUCACCAAGGCGACGAUCAGUAGCUGGUCUGAGAGGAUGAUCAGCCACACUGGGACUGAGACACGGCCCAGACUCCUACGGGAGGCAGCAGUGGGGAAUAUUGGACAAUGGGCGCAAGCCUGAUCCAGCCAUGCCGCGUGAGUGAUGAAGGCCUUAGGGUUGUAAAGCUCUUUUAUCCGGGAAGAUAAUGACUGUACCGGAAGAAUAAGCCCCGGCUAACUUCGUG
RNAcentral lists this ribosomal RNA (433 nucleotides) under uncultured organism. Its description in RNAcentral is "bacterial SSU rRNA". It matches the Rfam family "Bacterial small subunit ribosomal RNA", at positions 29 to 507 of the family's 1533-position model. The record is from RNAcentral.